Molecule: long non-coding RNA, 484 nt
Organism: Hypomesus transpacificus
Lineage: Eukaryota; Metazoa; Chordata; Actinopteri; Osmeriformes; Osmeridae
Exons: 5
Source: RefSeq, a predicted model, not a curated record
CUUUCCCACCAGCUCGCGAUACAGGUUAAUCUUGGAGUUUUUAUGGUUUUUCUGGAUGCGGUUAAAGUUGCCGCUAUCUUACUCCCAUUGUGUUGCAACUCGUCCGCUGUGAGGAGACAGAGGAUGGAGCGAAGGAGGCGGAGGCAAAACCAAACCCUCCAAGCCGUGUCCGGGCUGGUGUUACUGGGAUGCGGAGGCUGGUUGAGCACCCAGCUUUCCCUAAACCCAUCUACACACUCCGCCAUGAGGAGACGACUGCUGAGUGAUCUCGUGCAAGAUCAGACAGCAGUCCUGGGGUAUGUGCUUGGCCUGCUCUACCUGGUCAUAGCCUGGACCUCCAAGCUUCCGGUGCUUUUCAGGGCACACAGAGGGGAGGUGCUCUGCAGGGCGCGAGUGUGGUCGGGGGUGUUGUGUUUCCUGGCUGGAGUCCUGUACAGCAGUGCUGUCCUGGUGUGGGUUAGGGCAACCCUGCCCUGGCACAGAC